AAACCGAGGUGGCAAGCGUUGUUGGGAAUUAUUGGGCGUAAAGAGCACGUAGGUGGAUUUGUUAGUCAGAUGUGAAAGCCUUUUGUUCAACGGAAGAAUUGCAUCUGAAACUACAAACCUUGAGUAUAGGAGGGGAGAGUGGAACUUCUGGUGGAGCGGUGAAAUGCGUAGAUAUCAGAAGGAACGCCGGCGGCGAAAGCGACUCUCUGGCCUAUAACUGACACUGAGUGUGCGAAAGCUAGGGGAGCAAACGGGAUUAGAUACCCGAGUAGUCC
Molecule: ribosomal RNA, 275 nt
Filed under: uncultured bacterium
Lineage: Bacteria
Description: partial 16S ribosomal RNA
Rfam family: Bacterial small subunit ribosomal RNA
Source: RNAcentral